This 652-nucleotide unclassified non-coding RNA is filed under the name Hevea brasiliensis (rubber tree). The record is from RNAcentral. Lineage: Eukaryota; Viridiplantae; Streptophyta; Magnoliopsida; Malpighiales; Euphorbiaceae.
UAAUUUCGGCCAAUGUGGCUUGUUCUUUAUAAUUCUCCUGUUCCUGUUCUAUUUCGUGGUCUAUAAAUUGCUUCAGAGCAUUGCUUCUGAAGCUGCUAAUGCCCAUUACCACUCCACAAUCACUGUCGCUUGACUCUGGUGAAGAGCUUGUGGAGCAGGAGGAUGAUCCAGCAUCAACCUUGGCCUUGGCUUUGACCAAUGUGGCUUUCCGCCGGGCUUUCUCUUCUUUUCUUUUUCUCUUUUGCUCUGAUCUAAGUUGUUGCAGUUCUGCAAGCAAAACCUCCGUUGCUUCCGAAAGCAGCGUCCUCCCUUUGAAAUCAUGCACCAAACGGCUGCCAUAUUCUUCAACAGUUACCGUACGGCCAAAAAGGUCCAAGUCUUUGGACAAUCUUUUGAUCAACUUCAACCUUUUCUUCAUGUCUGGUUUUAUCUCUUUACUCUUCUCCUUCUGCUUCUUUCCUCCACCCAUAGACGGGGACACAUAGUAUUGCAUAUGCCCAGAAUCAGAAAAUCCACGACUCAAAAUCCCUGUAUCAUCUCUGGUUUUGAAUGAUACUCUAGAAUUUACCAUACCCAGUUGACGGAAACGUAAUUUCAAAGAGCGAUUAUCGACUCCGGCGUCGGAGAAGCGAAGAGCAGGGGAGGAAACUAC